This is a long non-coding RNA of Drosophila subpulchrella, 1643 nucleotides long. RefSeq lists it as uncharacterized. NCBI's taxonomy places the organism in Eukaryota, Metazoa, Arthropoda, Insecta, Diptera, Drosophilidae. The record is from RefSeq and is a predicted model, not a curated record. The transcript has 3 exons.
GUUAUAUUUUCAGAAGUACGCAGUGAUUUUGAUGUCAGAUCUUAACUUUUUCUUUUAUUAGCCAAACGCUGCUUAAUAGCAAACAAGAAAUUUUUGAAAUAAUCGAAAUUUAUAGUUAGUCAUUUUUGUGAAAUGGCUUAUACUUCUAUCGCCGGUGGGUUGAUUCUGGCUGCUCUUCGGGAAAUGGGUGAACCUGUGACUUUCCGGGAACUUUUGAAACACAUAGCCUGCAAUAUUGGUGUUCAGAGUAACGACUUAAAAGACGAUAUACAGAUUGCCACGCAGGUUGGCGUUCAGCGCGGAUUCAUCCAGAAGAGUGGACACCGAUUCUUUCUAAAAGACGAAUUCCCAGACGAAGAAAUAAAAGCGGCCGUUGAUUUAGUUUUUAAACGAGAUAAAGAAAAAGCAUGCCAACAAAGUCUUCUGGAGAAAAUAACUAAGGGCCCGCAAGAGCAACUGUCCCAGACAGAAGGCAAAACUUUGUUGGAGGUUUUAGCGUAUUCUGAUGAAGAAGAUGCUAUGGUAUUUAAUAUUAUAAGACCAGAGGAUAAAACAGAAAGCAAGGCAAAUUCUAAUGAAACUAUAUCUUCGCAUUCGAAUGGCAUGGGACAAGGGGAUUCACAGUCUUCGUGUUUAACUAUUGAAAGCAAAGAUUCAAAGAGCAUUUCAAUAUUUGACGAGCAGAAAGAUUCGAAGAUGUCACAAACUGCUGAAAGUUGUUCCGAGGACGAACAAGUUUUUCUUAAUAUUAAGUAGAACAAUUCCACGUUGUCAAAUACCAAUGGAACAGUCAAUUAAAUUUGUUCAAUUGAAGAAGACGGUUCGGUGUUAAACGAAGACAACGGAUCAAAAAGGACAGAUAUGAGUGUAAAAUGUGAAGCGAGCUUCACAGUUACUUUGAAUGGUGUAAUGUAAGAUCAUUUUCGCGUGUCACAAUUGGGAAUAUAAAAUAACACCACCUUGUCAAGAUACAAUAUUUCAAAAAAUAAUCCUUGGGUGCAUUGGUGGAGAAGAUGUGCAUGAAAUGCCUUCCGUUCCACAUCAAAAGGACACUUGGCAAGUGCUCGACCGUCCCAAUUACUGAAUUGCAGAUGCAGAUAGACAAUUGUCAAUGUCAAUAAUGGUUAAUACUUAACGGCCAGCUGCUUGAAGCCGCUUUUGUGUGGGAAGCUGCUCGUGUGGGUGUCAGAUCAAUAAUCCGACCUUCGGCCGAACGGUCCGCCCAUUUGCCCACUUGUCCAUUCCACGCCCCCUGUUGGCGCGCCCCCAGUGCCACGCCCCCCGCUGCCUAGUUAGCCAUUUGACAGAUUUCAGACAGUUUAAAGUCGCUGCGGGGGCAGGGAAAAUGGAAAAUGGGAAAUGGGGACUGGGAAACGGGGAAUGCGUCUGACCUAGGCCCCAAUGCCUGUGAAGGACACUCGAGCUGUGUUUUAAUUGCAGGUAUUAUGUCUUUCUCAGGGGCCCGCACAAGUGUGACCCCUGCACUGGCGAAAACAAUGGAGCAUUUGGAAUUUAAUCACUCUCCGAAAACCCUCUAGUUAAAAGUAUAUUCCUAGAUUGUGUAAAAAAAUGGUAUCUUUAAAAUAAUAUUAUUGUCCUUGCUUAAGUUACAAAAAAUAUAUAGAGUUCCUUAAUAUUUCGCU